GCGGACCAUGUUGUUAUUGAUUGGUGGCUUCUUUAGUGUGGCCAACUGUCAUUAUUGCAGUCUUUUCACUUUCAUGGCUCAUGAUGCUAUUUGGGAGAUCGAUUGUGGCUCUGUAAUAGUUGCUUGCGUUUGAAUCCUUAUGUGGGUGGUAUUAAUUUAUCUGGAUGCUUUGUGGAGAAGUCUUUAUGCCUGGUCAAGGGCAUAGGGAUUGUCUUAUGGAAUGAGAUCCUUCCACCCUUUGUGUCGGGCGUUGUCUCGUUUCUUGGGGUGGGAGAAUGAGGGUCUCGAUUUAUUGUGGUAAAUGUGGCUCUUUGAGAUUUGAUCUUGGUGUUACGGCACCUUGCUCGUUGGAAUAUUCGGGAGAUGGUGCCUUUAUCCUCUGUGCGACUUUGGUUCUUUCCCCUCGCGCCAUAUGAAAUGUAUGGUUGUCGUGGGGUGAGGUCAAGGUUGUCUUGAGGACGUGCUACCU
RNAcentral lists this unclassified non-coding RNA (469 nucleotides) under Cyanaeorchis minor. RNAcentral describes it as "partial contains external transcribed spacer and 18S ribosomal RNA". Lineage: Eukaryota; Viridiplantae; Streptophyta; Magnoliopsida; Asparagales; Orchidaceae. The record is from RNAcentral.